Molecule: ribosomal RNA, 460 nt
Filed under: uncultured bacterium
Lineage: Bacteria
Description: partial 16S ribosomal RNA
Rfam family: Bacterial small subunit ribosomal RNA
Source: RNAcentral
CCUACGGGAGGCAGCAGUGAGGAAUAUUGGUCAAUGGACGAGAGUCUGAACCAGCCAAGUAGCGUGAAGGAUGACUGCCCUAUGGGUUGUAAACUUCUUUUAUAUGGGAAUAAACUGUUCCACGUGUGGGAUUUUGUAUGUACCAUAUGAAUAAGGAUCGACGAACUCCGUGCCAGCAGCCGCGGUAAUACGGAGGAUCCGAGCGUUAUCCGGAUUUAUUUGGUUUAAAGGGAGCGUAGGUGGAUUGUUAAGUCAGUUGUGAAAGUUUGCGGCUAAACCGUAAAAGUGCAGUUGAAACUGGCAGUCUUGAGUACAGUAGAGGUGGGCGGAAUUCGUGGUGUAGCGGUGAAAUGCUUAGAUAUCACGAAGAACUCCGAUUGCGAAGGCAGCUCACUGGACUGCAACUGACACUGAGGCUCGAAAGUGUGGGUAUCAAACAGGAUUAGAUACCCCAGUAGUC